RNAcentral lists this long non-coding RNA (1429 nucleotides) under Sorghum bicolor (sorghum). Its description in RNAcentral is "long non-coding RNA (SBIC_LNC007583)". The record is from RNAcentral. Lineage: Eukaryota; Viridiplantae; Streptophyta; Magnoliopsida; Poales; Poaceae.
CGUGUGUGUGCAUUUCAGGAUAACUCUCACUCCUUCGAAGUUGGAAUUGGUAAGAGAUCGAGUUUUUGUCUUCUGACUGCGCUGAUUGAUUGACUCGUGGACGAUCCAUCAGAGAGAUUCAGAGGUGAGUGACGACUAUAUGUCUGUCCGUAUAGUCAGUGUUUACCGUUGAGAGUCCAGUCACAACGGUUUGCAUUCUUUGACUGAUCACAGUUACAGUUAUCUCUCAGCCAGGCAGGAGGUAUCUGAAUUGAAUUCCCAACUGAAGACUGUCGAUCGAAGCCUCUGAAUUUCUCCAGCCGCAAGGUUCAGGUUCUUGGUUGUAUAUUUGAUCCUUGUCGCCCCCUUGUUCAGUUGGCGAAACGAAAACUUUUUGGACAUAGACCUGCUGCAUACAUAGGUACGUGUGCAGUGUGCUGAUCCGGUCGCCUUAAUUAAUUAAUUAAUUAAUUAAUAUAAUAAAGUCUAAAAAGACUAAAACGCGUUCUCUGUCGUCCCGUCCGUCGACGUCGAGGAGCUAGCGACGGAGACGGACGACCCUGUCCAGUCAGGCGAAGGCGCGGGCGGCCACUGGCCACUCCAGUCGCUGUCGUCGUCGUCCGGCUCUGUCUCGCUCAGCGACGGAGAUAUGCAUGGAGCUACGAUGGGCCAUGCAUUCAUGCAGUGGUAGAGUGUGGAGAUUGGCGACGCCCGGGCCGCGACAGCAACAGGCCGGGCGUGGCGCCGCUCCGUCCGACGACGCGCGGGCGACUGGACACAGCCAUCGCUUUCGCGUCAGGAUCAGGAUCACCAAGCUGAUCGACUGCCAGUACAUACUGUGCCUAAUUGCUAAGGCCUUGUUUAGUUCACCUUAAAAAUUAAAAAAAAAAUAGAUUUCUCGUCAUAUCAAAUCUUACGACACAGCAUUAAAUAUAGUCAAAAAAAAAUUAAUUAUAUAAUUUAUCUGUAAAUCACGAGAUGGACUUUUAAAUCUAGUUAGUCAACCGGCCGGAGCAGCUAAAGCAAAGCGACGAAUUAACGAACCGACCGGGCGAUGACUGUGAGGAAGACGAUGGUGCGAGGAGGAGCUAUUAGCGCGUUGCAUCCGUUGGACUUGACAUGGUCGUGCGACGGAUCGGAUCACCGUCGGUCAGUCCGUCCAGUGAGUCCUCCACUACUGCCUCGCUCAGACCUCGUGUCCUCCUUCUACUUUCCUGAGCCGACACGACAGGUUACUAGCUAAUGGCAAUUUUCGGAAAGUUUCACCACAUUUUCCGUCGCAUGCAACCGCCGAGGCGCCGAACAAUGAUCCUACUAUAACUAUUCUCUCUUCACUCCAAUCUUCGAUGAUGCUGUCGUUGUUGUCACCCCAUAUAUGUGCAGGGACAGACAGAGCUCCUUAGAGCAGGUAGAAUAUAAUAGCCUUGCUAAACUAAUGCUAAUAUGAGGA